CGAAGGGGGCUAGCGUUGUUCGGAAUCACUGGGCGUAAAGGGCGCGUAGGCGGCCGAUCAAGUCGGGGGUGAAAGCCUGUGGCUCAACCACAGAAUUGCCUUCGAUACUGUUUGGCUUGAGACCGGAAGAGGUUAGUGGAACUGCGAGUGUAGAGGUGAAAUUCGUAGAUAUUCGCAAGAACACCAGUGGCGAAGGCGGCUGACUGGUCCGGUUCUGACGCUGAGGCGCGAAAGCGUGGGGAGCAGACAGGAUUAGAUACCCUGGUAGUCCACGCCGUAAACGAUGAAUGCCAGCCGUUGGCGAGCUUGCUCGUCAGUGGCGCAGCUAACGCUUUAAGCAUUCCGCCUGGGGAGUACGGUCGCAAGAUUA
Molecule: ribosomal RNA, 370 nt
Filed under: uncultured organism
Description: bacterial SSU rRNA
Rfam family: Bacterial small subunit ribosomal RNA
Source: RNAcentral